GAAAUGUGAUAAGUAGUGUGAAUUGCAGAAUUCAGUGAAUCAUCGAAUCUUUGAACGCACAUUGCGCCCCUUGGUAUUCCAUGGGGCAUGCCUGUUCGAGCGUCAUUUGUACCCUCAAGCUCUGCUUGGUGUUGGGUGUUUGUCCCCGUCUCCGCGCGUGGACUCGCCCCAAAGUGAUUGGCAGCCGGCGUACUGGUCCCGGAGCGCAGCACAUGUCGCGCAAACGAGUGCCUUGGUACGGCGGCGUCCAUAAGCCCCUCUCUCACGCUCUUGACCUCGGAUCAGGUAGGGAUACCCGCUGAACUUAAGC
RNAcentral lists this unclassified non-coding RNA (310 nucleotides) under plant metagenome. Its description in RNAcentral is "partial contains 5.8S ribosomal RNA, internal transcribed spacer 2, and large subunit ribosomal RNA". The stretch from base 1 to 105 matches the Rfam family "5.8S ribosomal RNA", at positions 50 to 154 of the family's 154-position model. The record is from RNAcentral.